Molecule: non-coding RNA, 75 nt
Organism: Frankia sp.
Lineage: Bacteria; Bacillati; Actinomycetota; Actinomycetes; Frankiales; Frankiaceae
Rfam family: ASpks TB sRNA
Source: Rfam
CUUGAGCGAUCCCAGCCACAGCGGCCGGUCCGCCGGGCGGCCCCGGCCAUAGGUGGCGAGCAGCGCCUGGGCCUC